GAUGAACGCUAGCGGCAGGCCUAAUACAUGCAAGUCGAGGGGCAGCACGGUUAGCAAUAACUGGUGGCGACCGGCGCACGGGUGCGUAACACGUAUACAAUCUACCUUAAACAGGGGGAUAGCCUUUCGAAAGAGAGAUUAAUACCCCGUAAUAAAUUGAACGGCAUCGUUUGAUUUUGAAAGCUCCGGCGGUUUGAGAUGAGUAUGCGUCUGAUUAGCUAGUUGGUGAGGUAACGGCUCACCAAGGCGACGAUCAGUAGGGGAUCUGAGAGGACUAACCCCCACACUGGUACUGAGACACGGACCAGACUCCUACGGGAGGCAGCAGUAAGGAAUAUUGGGU
RNAcentral lists this ribosomal RNA (343 nucleotides) under uncultured bacterium. RNAcentral's name for it is "bacterial SSU rRNA". It matches the Rfam family "Bacterial small subunit ribosomal RNA", at positions 28 to 369 of the family's 1533-position model. The record is from RNAcentral.